GGGCGCUUAGCUCAGCGGUAGAGCGCUGCCCUUACAAGGCAGAGGCCGAAGGUUCGAAUCCUUCAGCGCCCA
RNAcentral lists this transfer RNA (72 nucleotides) under Actinomycetes bacterium. RNAcentral describes it as "Actinobacteria bacterium tRNA-Val". It matches the Rfam family "tRNA". Rfam says of the family: Transfer RNA (tRNA) molecules are approximately 80 nucleotides in length. Their secondary structure includes four short double-helical elements and three loops (D, anti-codon, and T loops). Further hydrogen bonds mediate the characteristic L-shaped molecular structure. tRNAs have two regions of fundamental functional importance: the anti-codon, which is responsible for specific mRNA codon recognition, and the 3' end, to which the tRNAs corresponding amino acid is attached (by aminoacyl-tRNA synthetases). tRNAs cope with the degeneracy of the genetic code in two manners: having more than one tRNA (with a specific anti-codon) for a particular amino acid; and 'wobble' base-pairing, i.e. permitting non-standard base-pairing at the 3rd anti-codon position. RNAcentral also lists the same sequence under 2 other names. The record is from RNAcentral. Lineage: Bacteria; Bacillati; Actinomycetota; Actinomycetes.